RNAcentral lists this ribosomal RNA (801 nucleotides) under Pseudocamarosporium camporesii. RNAcentral's name for it is "Pseudocamarosporium sp. QT-2019a partial large subunit ribosomal RNA". It matches the Rfam family "Eukaryotic large subunit ribosomal RNA", at positions 88 to 906 of the family's 3401-position model. Lineage: Eukaryota; Fungi; Ascomycota; Dothideomycetes; Pleosporales; Didymosphaeriaceae. The record is from RNAcentral.
GGCGAGUGAAGCGGCAACAGCUCAAAUUUGAAAUCUGGCUCUCUUUGGGGGUCCGAGUUGUAAUUUGCAGAGGAUGCUUUGGCAUUGGCGGCGGUCUAAGUUCCUUGGAACAGGACAUCGCAGAGGGUGAGAAUCCCGUACGUGGGCGCCUGCCUUUGCCGUGUAAAGCUCCUUCGACGAGUCGAGUUGUUUGGGAAUGCAGCUCUAAAUGGGAGGUAAAUUUCUUCUAAAGCUAAAUACCGGCCAGAGACCGAUAGCGCACAAGUAGAGUGAUCGAAAGAUGAAAAGUACUUUGGAAAGAGAGUCAAAAAGCACGUGAAAUUGUUGAAAGGGAAGCGCUUGCAGCCAGACUUGCCCGCAGUUGCUCACCUAGGCUUUGGCCUGGGGCACUCUUCUGCGGGCAGGCCAGCAUCAGUUUGGGCGGUUGGAUAAAGGCCUCUGUCACGUAUCUUCCUUCGGGAUGACCUUAUAGGGGAGGCGUAAUGCAACCAGCCCGGACUGAGGUCCGCGCAUCUGCUAGGAUGCUGGCGUAAUGGCUGUAAGCGGCCCGUCUUGAAACACGGACCAAGGAGUCUAACAUCUAUGCGAGUGUUUGGGUGUCAAGCCCGGGCGCGCAAUGAAAGUGAACGGAGGUGGGAACCCUUUGGGUGCACCAUCGACCGAUCCUGAUGUCUUCGGAUGGAUUUGAGUAAGAGCAUAGCUGUUGGGACCCGAAAGAUGGUGAACUAUGCUUGAAUAGGGUGAAGCCAGAGGAAACUCUGGUGGAGGCUCGCAGCGGUUCUGACGUGCAAAUCGAUCGUC